CUUGUACACACCGCCCGUCACACCACGAAAGCCUGUUGUACCUGAAGUCGCCCAAGCCAACCGCAAGGAGGCAGGCGCCCACGGUAUGGCCGGUGAUUGGGGUGAAGUCGUAACAAGGUAGCCGUAGGGGAACCUGCGGCUGGAUCACCUCCUUUCUAAGG
This 161-nucleotide ribosomal RNA is filed under the name Nitrosomonas sp. Its description in RNAcentral is "partial 16S ribosomal RNA". It matches the Rfam family "Bacterial small subunit ribosomal RNA", at positions 1380 to 1533 of the family's 1533-position model. Lineage: Bacteria; Pseudomonadati; Pseudomonadota; Betaproteobacteria; Nitrosomonadales; Nitrosomonadaceae. The record is from RNAcentral.